RNAcentral lists this ribosomal RNA (250 nucleotides) under uncultured delta proteobacterium. Its description in RNAcentral is "partial 16S ribosomal RNA". It matches the Rfam family "Bacterial small subunit ribosomal RNA", at positions 524 to 772 of the family's 1533-position model. Lineage: Bacteria; Deltaproteobacteria. The record is from RNAcentral.
UACAGAGGGUGCAAGCGUUGUUCGGAAUUAUUGGGCGUAAAGCGCGUGUAGGCGGCCUGGCAAGUCGGGUGUGAAAGCCCUCAGCUCAACUGAGGAAGUGCGCCCGAAACUGCUAUGGCUUGAGUGCCGGAGAGGGUGGCGGAAUUCCCCAAGUAGAGGUGAAAUUCGUAGAUAUGGGGAGGAACACCGGUGGCGAAGGCGGCCACCUGGACGGUGACUGACGCUGAGACGCGAAAGCGUGGGGAGCAAA